UGAUUAAUCACUUUUUUAUAGCUUCGAUUUGCUGUGUUUUUGUUUUUUGUUUUUCUUUCUGUGAUAGUUCAUUUUUCAUUUGGUUGCUGAGAAAAGGAAAUAAGAAAAUUCAAUAAGAGAUUUGCUUAGAUUUUCUUUUGCCCUAUCUAUAUUUUGGUCAAAUUUAUGUUUGUUUUUUCUGAUUUGAUCAUUGUUCUUUGAUCUUUAUUUCAAGAAAACUUUAUUAAUGUAAUGUAUGGUAGUGUGUAUGGAUGGGUAUGGUGCACAUAAAUCAUCUCAUGCAACAUAUAUGACAUUCUGUGCCUGCUGUGUUUGUUCCUAUUUUAUGGCUGGUAACAUUUACUGUAUGUUCUUGCUAAAUCAUCUGGAUUCUAACAUUUUUUAACUUUAGAGAUUUCUUGAUCAUGCCAAUUGUGAGGAGAAAUCACCGGAAUUGAGAGGGUCGGAAGCUCAUACCAGGGAGCCGCCUUUGCUGAUGCAAAUCCGUUUGUUUUACAAUGGACGUGCUGUCAAGGGCACCCUUCUUGUCAAUAGAAAGCUUCCAGAAAAAACAAUUCAGGUUAUGUCUUCAAUGAUAAAGGUUGAGGCAGAUUCAAGACUCUCAAAUGUGCAAACUUUUAACUCACUGGAGAUAGUUGGAAUUAGGUAU
Non-coding RNA from Camellia sinensis, 649 nucleotides. The record is from RefSeq and is a predicted model, not a curated record. NCBI's taxonomy places the organism in Eukaryota, Viridiplantae, Streptophyta, Magnoliopsida, Ericales, Theaceae.